Molecule: ribosomal RNA, 964 nt
Filed under: Staphylococcus aureus
Lineage: Bacteria; Bacillati; Bacillota; Bacilli; Caryophanales; Staphylococcaceae
Description: partial 23S ribosomal RNA
Rfam family: Bacterial large subunit ribosomal RNA
Source: RNAcentral
GAACCGGCGAGUUACGAUUUGAUGCAAGGUUAAGCAGUAAAUGUGGAGCCGUAGCGAAAGCGAGUCUGAAUAGGGCGUUUAGUAUUUGGUCGUAGACCCGAAACCAGGUGAUCUACCCUUGGUCAGGUUGAAGUUCAGGUAACACUGAAUGGAGGACCGAACCGACUUACGUUGAAAAGUGAGCGGAUGAACUGAGGGUAGCGGAGAAAUUCCAAUCGAACCUGGAGAUAGCUGGUUCUCUCCGAAAUAGCUUUAGGGCUAGCCUCAAGUGAUGAUUAUUGGAGGUAGAGCACUGUUUGGACGAGGGGCCCCUCUCGGGUUACCGAAUUCAGACAAACUCCGAAUGCCAAUUAAUUUAACUUGGGAGUCAGAACAUGGGUGAUAAGGUCCGUGUUCGAAAGGGAAACAGCCCAGACCACCAGCUAAGGUCCCAAAAUAUAUGUUAAGUGGAAAAGGAUGUGGCGUUGCCCAGACAACUAGGAUGUUGGCUUAGAAGCAGCCAUCAUUUAAAGAGUGCGUAAUAGCUCACUAGUCGAGUGACACUGCGCCGAAAAUGUACCGGGGCUAAACAUAUUACCGAAGCUGUGGAUUGUCCUUUGGACAAUGGUAGGAGAGCGUUCUAAGGGCGUUGAAGCAUGAUCGUAAGGACAUGUGGAGCGCUUAGAAGUGAGAAUGCCGGUGUGAGUAGCGAAAGACGGGUGAGAAUCCCGUCCACCGAUUGACUAAGGUUUCCAGAGGAAGGCUCGUCCGCUCUGGGUUAGUCGGGUCCUAAGCUGAGGCCGACAGGCGUAGGCGAUGGAUAACAGGUUGAUAUUCCUGUACCACCUAUAAUCGUUUUAAUCGAUGGGGGGACGCAGUAGGAUAGGCGAAGCGUGCGAUUGGAUUGCACGUCUAAGCAGUAAGGCUGAGUAUUAGGCAAAUCCGGUACUCGUUAAGGCUGAGCAGUGAUGGGGAGAAGACAUUG